This 459-nucleotide ribosomal RNA is filed under the name Planogyra asteriscus. Its description in RNAcentral is "partial 16S ribosomal RNA". The record is from RNAcentral. Lineage: Eukaryota; Metazoa; Mollusca; Gastropoda; Stylommatophora; Valloniidae.
UUGCUUUAAGAUAUUAUAUUUUAAGUUAAACCUGCCCAGUGAACAAAACAAUUUUAACGGCCGCAGUACUUUGACUGUGCUAAGGUAGCAUAAUAAAUUGACUUUUAAUUGAAGUCCGGAAUGAAAGGGUAAAUGAAAAUCAACUGUCUUUAAAUAUUUUUUUAAAACUUAUUUAAAAAGUGAAAAUACUUUUUAGUUUUAAUAAGACGAGAAGACCCUAUGAAUUAUUAUUAAUAUUAAUAAUACUAUUUAACAAAAUUUUUGUUGGGGCAACAAAUUUAGGAUUAAAAUACAACACAUUAAUCAAAUCUUUUUACAUGAAGAUAUUUUAUAAGUAAGAUUUAAAUUACCUUAGGGAUAACAGCAUAAUUAUAUUUUUAGAUUGUGACCUCGAUGUUGGAUUAAGGACAUUAAUUGUUAGCAAUUAUUAAUGAUAGUUCUGUUCGAACUUUUUACCUU